GAUGAACGCUGGCGGCGUGCCUAAUACAUGCAAGUCGAGCGAAUGGAUUAAGAGCUUGCUCUUAUGAAGUUAGCGGCGGACGGGUGAGUAACACGUGGGUAACCUGCCCAUAAGACUGGGAUAACUCCGGGAAACCGGGGCUAAUACCGGAUAACAUUUUGAACCGCAUGGUUCGAAAUUGAAAGGCGGCUUCGGCUGUCACUUAUGGAUGGACCCGCGUCGCAUUAGCUAGUUGGUGAGGUAACGGCUCACCAUGGCAACGAUGCGUAGCCGACCUGAGAGGGUGGUCGGCCACACUGGGACUGGGACACGGCCCAGACUCCUACGGGAGGCAGCAGUAGGGAAUCUUCCGCAAUGGACGAAAGUCUGACGGAGCAACGCCGCGUGAGUGAUGAAGGCUUUCGGGUCGUAAAACUCUGUUGUUAGGGAAGAACAAGUGCUAGUUGAAUAAGCUGGCACCUUGACGGUACCUAACCAGAAAGCCACGGCUAACUACGUGCCAGCCGCCGCCGUAA
This 515-nucleotide ribosomal RNA is filed under the name uncultured bacterium. RNAcentral's name for it is "partial 16S ribosomal RNA". It matches the Rfam family "Bacterial small subunit ribosomal RNA", at positions 28 to 523 of the family's 1533-position model. The record is from RNAcentral.